GGGCGGGGGCGGGCCGGAGGAGCCCCGCGCGCUCCCUUUGUGCGUGGAGGGGCGGGCCCUGAGCAGGUGGGACGAGGCGGACACUUCGCUUUCCCGAGUGGGAGCGGCGGGCGGUUGGUGCACGCGACGUGGGCUCAGGCUGGUGGCUGUCGUCGCCGUCGCCUCGCGGUCCCCAGACGCUGGCGCGUGCCCCCGGGCUCGCUUCUGGUGCUUUCCAGGUUCUGGACUGCCCAGGGUCAGGGCGGCUGCCGGGAGGAGUGGGUGGCCCCGGUGAUUCACCGUUACUAGCGAGAGCGGACAGUUUUAGCUUUGUCAUGGCGAAACGCUUUCUGAUCCGGGAGAUAAGUGUGCAGUGCUGGCAUUGUGUCCCGGAGUGUCGCCUGCCCCUCUCGGGCCGCUUUGACAAGAGCCUUGCCGGCCUUGCACGUGUUUGUUCCACAGCGUGUUUAGGGGGCUGGGUCGGGAUUUUUCAAAAGGGCGUAGAAGAAAAAAAUUUUUUUGCCUGUUACAUCUCCAUCCAUCAGACUGUUUCCUUCUCCACCCUAGGAAAAAAAAUAUUUCUUUUUUAAACCCAUCUUUUUCUCCUAUAAAUGACAGAUAACAUAAACAAAGUCCUGUCUGAUGGAAAUAGCUAAUAAUUGGGGGCAGUACAGAGUGCACUGAAGUGGGGAGAACUGUGGGGAUUGUUUGCUUUAGGAAGGCGAGACUGCCCACUUCGUCCGCGCGUCCUUAGCCUGUAGCUCCUGCUGGGCAUAAGGGAAGAUGUGAACGCUCUGUGUCGAGUGAGUUUGCCAGCUUAGUAGGGCUGGGAGACUUCACUUCCACACACGUAGUGGCUAUGGAGGGCAUCGUCUGCUCCAUUUCUCAAGUUUCCUGUGCGUGUUUCAGGCACCCUCACAGCAGCUUUCAAACUCUUUCUGUUCGGUUAUUACUUUGCCAUGUGUUAGUUACCCUGCCACAACUCAGAAUUAGCCCUAGGUUCUUCCUGUUCUCUAGCCAGUUAGCUCUGAGCCAAAGAAAUGUUUGUUUUAUUUUAUGGCUGUCAACGAAUUUUGGGUAAGUGGAGGGGACUUGGCUGAAUCGGUAGUGGCUUCAGUGAGGCCAGGUUUCUCAGGCAGAUGGUUCAUGGGAGAGAACUCUGAAAUAAGGACAUUCUUUUUAAAUGCUGUGAGGAAAUAAGAGUUUAGCCUGAUUGAUGAGACACUAAUGCGUAAGUAAAACAUUUUAUUAGUAACGUGGUUUAAGAGACUAAUUUCAGCUUGAUGGCCCGUCUAAAAAAUACCCUGGGAAAACACAUUUCUGAGUUGGCAGCCAUAAACGAGAGCUUCCUGUGUGCAGUGUGAACGGGCCAAGAGCCGUGGCUUUGCCCUCCUGUAAUGUGUAGUCCAGGUGCGUGUGAGAAAUUCCCAAAUGUCCAGAAUGCAAGGUGAUUCCCAAAGAUGGUUGUGAGCAGAAUGCUGGGCGCGUUGAAGGAAACAAGCCUCUAGGAAGGCUCACUGAAAAUCGUGGCUUUUGGGUUGAGCAUUGGGCGGGGUGUGUGUGUGUGUGUGUGUGUGUGUGUGAGUAUCCCAAGCUGAGGAAAUACACAGAAUAGUAGGGCCGGCGUGGGGGAAGCAGGCUUCAGUGUGCAGAGCUGUUGGAGCAGAGAACCUGGAAGAUGGGCACUGUGGUCUGUAAGAGUUGGUAGUGAGGGGUUCCUCUUUGGGUGGAGUAGGGACACGGUGAGGGGUUUUGAGUGGUGUGCAUGUGGCAGCAUCCAGGAUUCGUGCUUGGAGUCCAGCCAGUCCAGUCUUUCAGACAACGGAGUGAUGUAUCGGGCUUGUGAACACGAGUAAUGAUUGACAUAUUGGUAGUUGGAUAAGGAGUCUGUUGAAAUAAUGAAAGAAGAGGUACAUUUAAAGUUUCUAAACAUGCAUGUUAAAACAAGGUUUUCUUCUCUGUUAGAAAGGCAGGAGAAUUCGGUGAAGGCAGUAGGUACAGCGGACUUCAUUGCAGAGGGCUGUAGAGCAGAGUGACCUUGAAGGACAGCCAGACAUUUUAUCCAAGAUGGCAGAGUCCCUCCACCUCCUCUUUGCUUGUCGUAGAGUGUAUUGGGGCACAGACAGCUGUACUGUUCAGUGCACAGAAUACUCCACGGUGGUCACCCCUGACUCCUGAAGACUACUGCAUUGAGUUACUGAACCGCAGAAGCAUAGAAAAAAGGUUUAAAUCCAAGUGAGUGCUCUUUAGAGAGAAAAGAGGCUAAGAGGGCCAAAGAAGACGAAAGCGAACUCUGAGUGGAGCUCCGGGAGAGGUUAGAGCAGAUUCACCAACUUGUCUGUCCCUCAGUCUCAUUUGAAAAACUGGGAGUUGGAGUAAAAUUUUCUUUUUCUUUCUUUUUUUUUAGAUUUAUUUGAGAGGCAGAGAGAGAGAGAAAGUCCUUCCAUUUGCUGGUUCACUCCCCAGAUGGCCACAAUGGCCAGAGCUGUGCCGAUCAGGAGCCAGGAGCUUCCUCUGGGUCUCCCAAGCGGAUGCAGGGUCCCUAGGACUUGGGCCAUCUUCUGCUGCUUUCCCAGGCCAGAGCAGAGAGCUGGGUCAUAAAGCACCAGGACUUGAACUGGUGCCCACUUGGGAUGCUGGCACUGCAGGUGGCGGCUGUACCCGCUAUACCAUAGCACCGGCCCCUGGAAUGAAAAUUUCUGGGUCUGUUCAGGUUGAAGAAUGUGUUGUUGUCAAGUGAUACAUGAAUUGUUGAAAAGCUGGUGGUAUUAGUGAAAUGAAGGCCUCAGGAGUCGUGUGUGAUCCUACUGAGUGCUGCUGGGAGGAGCAGAGCUAUCACUGGGCAGUAUCAAAUGGCCUGGGUAAGGUGUCUGGGAGAAUUAAGUACUGGGCUGUGAAGAAAUGGCAAAUUGGAGAAAUCACAGGGCUUCUAUAAACCCCCUGGGAUGUUUGGGAACAGUGUAUCUCUUUUUAAAAAUUAGUUAAUUUGAAAGGCCAGGAGAGAUCUUCCAUCCACUGGUUCGUUCCCCAAAUGGCCGCAAAAGCCAGGUCUGGGCCAGACUGGAAACAGGAGCCAGGAACUUCGUCCUAGUCUCUCAUGAAUGGACGGGGCCCAGGUGCUCAGGCCAUCCUCUGCCUUCCCAUGCAUAUUGGCAGGAAGCUGGAUCUGAAGUGGAGCAGUCACUGCCACCACAAAGCUGCCCCAAAUGUAUUGUUUACAGAGUGACCUUGAACCAGACACUGUUUAAGAUCACUUCUGUAAACGCCGUAGGCUAACAGAUACCUGUCCUGGGGGCAGCAUCAUGGCAUAGCAGGUAAAGCUGCCACCUGCAAUGCGGGCAUCCCAUUUGGACGAUGAUUUGAGUCCUGGCUGCUCCACCUCCCAUCCAGCUCCCUGCUAGUGGCCUGGGAAAGCAGCCAAAGAUGGCUUAAGUGUUUGGGCCCCUGCCAUGUGGGAGACCCAAAAGAAGCUCCUGGCUUCUGGCUUCGGUCUGGCCCCAGCUCUGGCCACUGUGGCCAUCUGAGGAGUGAGCUAGUGGAUGGAAGAUCUCUUUCUAUCUCUCCAACUCUUUCAAAUAAAAAAAUAAAUCUUAAAAAAUGGUAGCUGUCCUAAAGACUAAUUUUAGUAGACUGCUUUGGUAUAAUUUCAGAAACGGAAAUCUAUAUUACAGUAAGUAAUAUAAAGUAAGUCACUUAAUAUAUUAUGUAGAGAAUCUCUGACAGUUGUCUCUGGCUGUAUAAAGCUUUUGCCUUCCCUUUUUCUGCCUUUCUGCCCCUCAAAAUAAAUAGAUAAAUAAAUGUAGCGGCCCUUGAGCACCUUUGUUGUAUAAAUUAUAGAUAAUCACAUUAUUAGACAUUAAAACUAUUCACUUAUAAUUCACUUUGAAUAAUUAAUAAACAGAAUAAUAAAGCCAUAAGGAAUGGAUGUUUUUAAAUAUUUAUUUUGUUUGAAAAGCAGAAAGAGAGACACCUUCCAUCUGCUGAUUCACUCCCAGAAUCCCUCCAACACUCAGAGCUGGGCCAGAUCCAAGCUAGGAGCCUGGUACUCUUUCUAGGUCUCCCACAUGUGUGACAAGGACCCAAGUAGUUGAGCCAUCACCUGCUACUACCCAGGUUACAUUAGCAAGAAGCUGGAAUUAGAAGCAGAGUUGGGACUCAAACCCAGGCCGUGUCAACCAGUGCACCAGAUGCCCGCUGUGUGUGUUUUAACUGAAAUACAUAAAAGUGCACUGUGUGAGUGUGCAGUUCUUGGGCGUUAGAUGCAUUUACAUUGUGUGCAGCGUCACCUCCUAUCCCCAGGACAUUUUCAGCUCUCCCAGCUGAAACGCUAUAACCAUUAAACCUCAGUUCUUUCCUCAGCCUCUGCCAACAACCAUUUUUUUCAUUUAUUUUAGUGUAUUCAUUUUUACUUAUUUGAAAAGCAGAGAAAGAUCUUCCAUCUGCUGAUUCACUCCCGAACUCCCACGACCGCCAGAGCACCCAGCUACUUGAGCCAUCAUCCGCUGGCUUCCCGGGGCAGAGUGGACAGUGAGAGAGAGACAGAGAGAAAGGUCUUCCUUUGCCGUUGGUUCACCCUCCAAUGGCUGCCGCGGCCGGUGUGCUGUGGCCGGCGCACCACGCUGAUCCGAUGGCAGGAGCCAGGUGCUUCUCCUGGUCUCCCAUGGGGUGCAGGGCCCAACUACUUGGGCCAUCCUCCACUGUACUCCCUGGCCACAGCAGAAAGCUAGCCUGGAAGAGGGGCAACCAGGACAGAAGCCGGCGCCCCGACCCGGACUAGAACCCGGUGUGCUGGCGCCGCAAGGCAGAGGAUUAGCCUAGUGAGCUGCGGCGCCGGCCUAAAAAUAAAUUUUAAAGAUGAGAUUUUUGUGUUUUGUGUUUGUUUUUUAUAUUGAUGAUUGAUUGAUUGAUUUGAAAGGCAGCGUUGCAGAGAGAUCUUCUGUCCUCUGAUUCACUCCCCAAAUGGCCACAACAGCCAGGACUGGCCUAGGCCAAAGCUAGGAGCCAGGAAUUCCAUCCACGUGAGUGGCAGGGGCCCAAGGCAUUGGGCCAUCGUCUGCUGCCUUCCCAGGCACAGUAGCAGAGAGCAGGACUAGGAGUGGAACAGCUGGAACUGAACCAGCUCUCCAAUAUAAGGUGCUGGUAUUGCAAGCAGUAGCUUAGCCUGCUGUACUACAAUGCUAGCCCCUACAGAUUUUUGUGUGAACAUUUUUGCUAUUCUCUUGGAUAACUACCUGGGGCAUAUGGUAAUUCUGUUUAAUAGUAACUCUGAGUUAGAUACCCCCACAUAUUCAACAAUCCUAGUGAGUGUGAAUGGGAUCUGAUUACAUUUGUGAUUGCGUCUCCUGGGUGAAUACAGGAUGUUGAGCGUAUUUUCAUGUGCUUAUUUGGAGAGAUGUCUACUCAGGUCCUCCCCCCCCCCCCACCCCAAGAUUUACUUAUUUGAAAAGCAGAGUGACAGAAAGGAGAGACAGAGACAGAGAUCUUCCAUCUGUUGGUUCCUUCCCCAAAUGGCUGCAAAAAGCAGCUAGCUCUGGGCCAGGCUGAAGCCAGAAUCCAGGAACUUCAUCCUGGUCUCUCUCACACAUGGGCGCCAGAGCCCAGUACUUGGGCCAUCUCGUGAUGCCUUCCCAGAUGUACUAACUGGGAGCUAGAUAGGAAGGAGAGCAACCAGGACUCAAAAACCAUUGCUCCGAUAUGGGAUACUGGUGUCACAAGUGGUAGCUUAACCUACUGCUCCACAAUGCUGGCCUCAAGCCAUAUUCUAUCUUUAGUAGUCUUAAUAGGAUAGUGCAAAACUUGACCCGUAUAUACUAAACUAGCAAGGCAAUUUUGACCUGCUUUUAAUUAAUAGAAUAUCUUUCUGUUAGGCAUCAGUACUUUCAUCUGCUGGUUUGAUUGCUUAUGACCAGACCAAACCAGGAUUUAACUUCCUGUUCUUUUCUGUGCUCCAGCUUUUUUUUUUUUUUUUUUUAAAGAUCUAUUUAUUUAUUUUAUUAUUAUUUUUUUUGGAAAGCCAGAGUGACAGAGAUCUUCAUCUGCUGGUUCACUCCCCAAGUGGGAAUGAAUUGCCAGAGUUGGGCUGAUCAGGAGCUUCUUCUGGGUCUCCCAUGUGGGUACAAGGGCCAGGUACUCAGGCCAUGUUCUGUUGCUUUCCCACACACAUUAACAGGGAGCUGGAUCAGAAAUGGCACAGCUGGGACUUGAACAGGCACCCAUAUGGGAUGCCGGCGCCACAGGUGGUGGCUUAACCCGGUGUGCCACAGCGCCGACCCCUUCUGUCCCCUUUUUAAGGAAAAUACUUGCCUAGUACCAUUUACCUUUCCCUUCAGAAACUAGCAACUAAGUCGGCUUCUUGAUUUAGUAAAUUACAAGUUUUCAAGGAAAGAAAGUAUAUGUAUUGAUGUUUGUCUUGGUUCUUUUGAUAACACCAAUAUAAAAAUGUUGGUGAAUGUUGUAUAAUGUAACAGUUUUAAAUAUAGGUUGGGGGGGCCGGCGCCAUGGCUCACUAGGCUAAUCCUCCGCCUAGCGGCGCCGGCACACCGGGUUCUAGUCCCGGUCGGGGCGCCGGAUUCUGUCCCGGUUGCCCCUCUUCCAGGCCAGCCCUCUGCUGUGGCCAGGGAGUGCAGUGGAGGAUGGCCCAAGAGCUUGGGCCCUGCACCCCAUGGGAGACCAGGAAAAGCACCUGGCUCCUGGCUCCUGGCUCCUGCCAUCGGAUCAGCGUGGUGCGCCGGCUGCAGCGCACCGGCCGCGGCGGCCAUUGGAGGGUGAACCAACGGCAAAGGAAGACCUUUCUCUCUGUCUCUCUAUCUCACUGUCCACUCUGCCUGUCAAAAAAAAAAUAUAUAUAUA
Molecule: non-coding RNA, 6828 nt
Organism: Oryctolagus cuniculus (rabbit)
Lineage: Eukaryota; Metazoa; Chordata; Mammalia; Lagomorpha; Leporidae
Source: RefSeq, a predicted model, not a curated record